GCACCAACAGCUCUUUAGUAGCAGGGUUCAACCUGCAUUCACAAAGAGAAAUGAAGAACUGAAUCAUUCGUCUGUGCUGUGCCAAGCUUCUGCCUCUAUCAACCAUAUCUUUCAAGCAUGGGUAGGAGGCAAGGGUGAAUUGCCCCAAUCGGUUGUUUACCUUGCUAAGCUUGCCUUCUGAUAGCUUUUCUUCCCAUUCUGAUUGUCCAUCACAAAGCCAAGUAUAUGUUGUAUAUGUUCCAAAGAUUGUAAGA
This 254-nucleotide long non-coding RNA is filed under the name Homo sapiens (human). RNAcentral's name for it is "HSALNT0225406". The record is from RNAcentral. Lineage: Eukaryota; Metazoa; Chordata; Mammalia; Primates; Hominidae.